RNAcentral lists this long non-coding RNA (2639 nucleotides) under Homo sapiens (human). RNAcentral's name for it is "HSALNT0228180". Lineage: Eukaryota; Metazoa; Chordata; Mammalia; Primates; Hominidae. The record is from RNAcentral.
GUUCAGGCUCUGUCUGGUUCCAGACCUGAGGGAACACAAAGAGGACCCUUAGGAUGGUACAAGGCAGGGGUCCCCAGCUCACCUGCCCAGGGGGCCAGGCAACUUUUUGGAUCUUUAACAUUUACACAAAAAUGUACCAAGUACUCUUUGGAAUACCUACUAAUUCUCAAUUCCUUUCAUCCUGACAUUAACCCUAGGUAGUUGCAAUUAUAUUGAUUUGCAGAUGAAGAAGCUGAGGACCAGAGAGGUUGAGUAACUUUGCUGACUUUACCCAGCUGAGGAGUGGAAGGGCUGGGAUUUGAACCCAGGGAACUGGGCCAUGUGGUCUAGGAGACCUGGGCUCCAUAAUCAUUGCUAGGCAUGGACUGUCAGUUAAUCCUUAUAACAACUCCAGGACGCAGACAGUACUGUCUCCAUUUCAGAAACCAGCAGACUGAGGCACCAGUCGGGGAACUGCCUCCCCCAGGGACACACAAAUGGGAAGUGGCAAAGCUGACUCUGACCCAGGCUUAUCUGACCCCAAACCUCGUUCGACUGGUGGUCUUGAUGUAUGAUUUGUUUUUAUUUUUUAUUAUUAAUUAAUUUAUGUUUUAGAGACAGGGUCUCACUCUGUUGCCCAGGCUGAAGUGGCACAAUCAAAGCUCAACAAAGCUUCGAAUUUCCUGGGCUCAAGCAAUCCUCCCACCUCGGCCUCCCAGAGUGCUGGGAUUACAGGCAUAAGCAGCCUCACCAGGCCUGGCUAAUUUUUUUUUUUUAUGUUUUGUAGAGAUGGGGGUCUCUCUAUGCUGGUCUCGAACUCCUGGUCUCAAGCAAUCCUCCUGCCUCAGCCUCCUAGGUACUGGGAUUACAGGCAAGAGCCACCGGCCCAGCUUGAUCUGUUAUUUUCAUCUCAGCAGGUCUGCUGGUCCUAUCUAACCCUAGAAGAAAUUUGAAGUUUAGUGGACGUGGCCUCUUCAAUUCUCUCUCCGCUGUCUUUUUACUCCUCCUGGUUUCACAACUCACCGGCUGUGCAAACUUUAACCUCUCUGUAUCUCAGUUUCCUUCCCUGUAAAAGGGGGAAAACGAGACUCUACCUCUAUGAGUUGUAUUAAAUGGAUUAAUAGCAGCAAAGUUCAUAGCAGCAUGGCACAAGGUUGGGCACAAGGCUAGGCACAGAGAAAGCCCUCAGUUCAUUGCCAGUUUAUUGCUUCAACUCCCUGGCCCUCGAAAUGCUGGCAGUUUGCAACCCCCACCCCCACUCCAUGAACUCCACUCCCUGGAGUCCUUUGCUAAGAGCAAUGGAAAAAGAAACCAGAGAGGUAAGGGCUCUCCGGGGGUAGGAGGGCUUGGGGGACCCACUAGCUUUAUGCAAAGAAGAGUCAAAGCCCCUAGUAGCUGGGAGGUCUGGUGGCCCCUUAAAUAGAGCUGGGCUCUCGGCUGCUGGCUUGGUGAAAGAAAUCCAACCCGCUGCAGUGAGGGGGCCGGAGUAAGUCUCCUCGCUUCCCGGGUCCAGGAAUUUGGGGGUCUCUCCUCUCCCCAGUAUCGCAGCCCGAGAGAUCUGCAGCCAAACCAAGCCUGGAAAAGGAGAGUGGGGCGCGAUGGGGGGCACUCACCCCCUGCCCCGCGCAGGGCUCAGCAGGCGCGGCCAUCGGCGCCUUCUGUCGUCGUGGGUCCCAGCGUCUGUCUGUCGCUAAGUCUCUGGGCAGACUGCUCGGCCGCGAUCCUGCCGGAGAAGAGGCGGGGCUGGGCUGGUCGGGCUGGGCUGGUCCGGCUGGGAUUCGAGCUCCGGGAUCGGGAGGCCCCGGGCAAGGUCCAGCUGCGCGGCGGGAGUGAGGCCACGGGAGUUCCCUCUUCCCCCUGCAACAAGAAUCACUCCAGACUUCCUAAACACUUUGGACCCAGCAAUUUCCAGGAGUUCAUCCUGAUGAGAGAACUGAAAGGUGUGCACACGUUAGUAACAAGGAGGCCUGGUGACCGCCUAAGCGUCCAAUCGCGGGGACCACCGGGUCGAGGCCGAGAGGAUGGAGACCGCGUCACAGGCACCUCGCUGCUGGAAUGGAGGGUGGUGGGGAGAACUUAGAAGAUUAUGCAAUGGGCUGGCAGGGCUAUACCCAGCCGCCCUGGUAAGCAGAAACUCAAGAAACCUCUAGGGUCCUGUUUUCUGGUCGUAUGAUCCCAGGAGUGCACAUGGGCCCCUCGGGUGUCUGAACAGAAGGGCAUAGGAGGGAGGGCCGCAGCCCUGCAGUCUUACUCUGCUGGUGUAGCGGUCACCUGCCAACUCCCACCCCACCCUGCACCGCGGGCUCCUGAGUCGGCAGAUUAAGCAUUUUAUAAAUUCUAUUUUAAAUACGUGUUUUAAACUUGUCAGAUAUUUGUCUUCAUUUCAGUCCCUGCGCCUCUACCUCUUGCUGUGGUCGCUUAUUUAACACUGGGGGGCUACGUUCUGCUAAGUCCCAGGGAGAGACUGUUCCUAAUAUCCGAGGGAGAUAUUAUUCCUAAUAUCACGCUGGGUGAACACCACGUGUGUACAGCCUCUGAUACGAUUGGUAAUAUCCAAGGGAGAUAUUAUCCUAACAUCCCAGUGGGUGAACACCAUGUGUGUAAACGCUGUGGUAUUAUUAGAAAUAUCCAAGGGAGAUAUUACUCCUAAUAUCACAGUG